AUUAGCUAGUUGGUGAGGUAAUGGCUCACCAAGGCGACGAUCCCUAGCUGGUCUGAGAGGAUGAUCAGCCACACUGGAACUGAGACACGGUCCAGACUCCUACGGGAGGCAGCAGUGGGGAAUAUUGCACAAUGGGCGCAAGCCUGAUGCAGCCAUGCCGCGUGUAUGAAGAAGGCCUUCGGGUUGUAAAGUACUUUCAGUUGUGAGGAAGGGGGUGUUGUUAAUAGCAACAUCUCUUGACGUUAGCAACAGAAGAAGCACCGGCUAACUCCGUGCCAGCAGCCGCGGUAAUACGGAGGGUGCGAGCGUUAAUCGGAAUUACUGGGCGUAAAGCGCAUGCAGGUGGUUCAUUAAGUCAGAUGUGAAAGCCCGGGGCUCAACCUCGGAACUGCAUUUGAAACUGGUGAACUAGAGUACUGUAGAGGGGGGUAGAAUUUCAGGUGUAGCGGUGAAAUGCGUAGAGAUCUGAAGGAAUACCAGUGGCGAAGGCGGCCCCCUGGACAGAUACUGACACUCAGAUGCGAAAGCGUGGGGAGCAAACAGGAUUAGAUACCC
RNAcentral lists this ribosomal RNA (555 nucleotides) under Vibrio lentus. Its description in RNAcentral is "bacterial SSU rRNA". It matches the Rfam family "Bacterial small subunit ribosomal RNA", at positions 240 to 787 of the family's 1533-position model. The record is from RNAcentral. Lineage: Bacteria; Pseudomonadati; Pseudomonadota; Gammaproteobacteria; Vibrionales; Vibrionaceae.